RNAcentral lists this transfer RNA (73 nucleotides) under Coccidioides posadasii C735 delta SOWgp. Its description in RNAcentral is "tRNA-Phe (GAA) (tRNA-Phe-GAA-1-1)". It matches the Rfam family "tRNA". From Rfam's summary of the family: Transfer RNA (tRNA) molecules are approximately 80 nucleotides in length. Their secondary structure includes four short double-helical elements and three loops (D, anti-codon, and T loops). The record is from RNAcentral. RNAcentral also lists the same sequence under 14 other names. Lineage: Eukaryota; Fungi; Ascomycota; Eurotiomycetes; Onygenales; Onygenaceae.
GCGGCUUUAGCUCAGUUGGGAGAGCGUUAGACUGAAGAUCUAAAGGUCGCCUGUUCGAUCCAGGCAAGCCGCA